AAUUAUCCUGUAUUAUAUUGCAUGAUAUACUUUCUGUGACAGAUCCAAUUCAAGCUCCAAUCCAAGGGCUCUACAUUCUCCCCGUUUCUGCAGAAACUAUUUCUCCUAUCACUGCUCUGCAAGAGGAAAACACAGAGACAAUUUCUCCUACCAUUGCUCUGCAAGAGGACAACUCAGAGACAGUAGUAAGCUUGGACGAUGUCACCAUGUCCCCUGCAAAAGUAAAAUGCCCUUCUUGCCAGAAGAUUGUCAACACUGAGAUCUACUAUAAACUGGGCAGCAAUGCCUUUCUCUUUUGCUGUCUCUUAUCUGUGGUAGGGUGCCUGGCCGGAUGUUGCCUGGUCCCCUUUUGUAUGAAUCGCUUCAAAGAUGUCACCCACAGGUGUCCAUCCUGCCAUAAAGAUAUAUGUUCAGUAAAUAGAAUUUGAAGCAAAGGGUAAUACAGUUAUUGAUCUGCAAUAACAUGACUGUGAAAACCUCCAGAAGAGCUUAAAGCUGAGCACAGGGGUCAGGCCUGGAUUUUUGUCUCUUUGCUGGGGAAGUCCAUAUGUAGGCUUUGAGAUGUGGCGAAACUACAUGUACAAAGGAAUUCAACUAUAGUCAAGUUAAGCAAAUAAUAAUUGAUUAAGAGUAAGAGGACCUAAUGUGCUACAUUAAUAUUGUGCAAGUGGCCACUAGUCCAGCAGCGUCUCAACCAUUUCCAAUAGG
Molecule: long non-coding RNA, 708 nt
Organism: Sinocyclocheilus anshuiensis
Lineage: Eukaryota; Metazoa; Chordata; Actinopteri; Cypriniformes; Cyprinidae
Exons: 4
Source: RefSeq, a predicted model, not a curated record